RNAcentral lists this microRNA precursor (275 nucleotides) under Oryza sativa Indica Group (long-grained rice). RNAcentral describes it as "MIR821 microRNA precursor family". It matches the Rfam family "MIR821 microRNA precursor family". The record is from Rfam by way of RNAcentral. Lineage: Eukaryota; Viridiplantae; Streptophyta; Magnoliopsida; Poales; Poaceae.
GAUUUUAAUUGAAAAAGUCAUCAACAACAAAGUUGAAUAACUCAUCAAGAUCUAAAACUUUUAUUUUUGUUAUUUCUUCAUCCGACGAAAUGUUAGUAAUAUUAUUCACAAAUUUUACAUAUAUGUGUUAUAGUUUAUAAAACCAGAUAAGAGAUAUGUCAAUUUUGUGAACAAUGUUACUAUCACUUUGUCGUAUGAAGAAAUGACCAAAAUAAAAGUUUUAGAUCUUGAUGAGUUAUUCAACUUUGUUGUUGAUGACUUUUUCAGUUGAUAUC